Long non-coding RNA from Sphaerodactylus townsendi, 195 nucleotides. RefSeq lists it as uncharacterized. The transcript has 3 exons. The record is from RefSeq and is a predicted model, not a curated record. Lineage: Eukaryota; Metazoa; Chordata; Lepidosauria; Squamata; Sphaerodactylidae.
GGGGUGGGAGUGGAAGAAAGAGAAGUUGUUGCUUGAUUCGCUCUGCAAAGGUGGGAAGACUGAGGCUGAAAAUGACUUGGCCCAGACCAGCAUGAGGGACAAAAUAAUGUAGAGUUGUUGAGGCACAUCUGAACUGCUGAGGGUCAAUGGAGGGGGCAUCCUCAUCUGCCUGAUAAAGAUUACAGCAUAUUUACA